This 192-nucleotide ribosomal RNA is filed under the name uncultured endophytic bacterium. RNAcentral's name for it is "partial 16S ribosomal RNA". It matches the Rfam family "Bacterial small subunit ribosomal RNA", at positions 338 to 522 of the family's 1533-position model. The record is from RNAcentral.
CCUACGGGAGGCAGCAGUGGGGAAUUUUGGACAAUGGGGGAAACCCUGAUCCAGCAAUGCCGCGUGAGUGAAGAAGGCCUUCGGGUUGUAAAGCUCUUUUGUCAGGGAAGAAACGGUGAAGGCUAAUAUCCUUUGCUAAUGACGGUACCUGAAGAAUAAGCACCGGCUAACUACGUGCCAGCAGCCGCGGUA